CCCGCAGGCCAUCUUAUCGCUUCCCGGUCCCGAUAACUAUCGGGAUCCGGGGAGAGGAAAGUCCGGACACCACAGCGCAGCGUAGCGGGUAACACCCGCCCCCCGGCUUACCGGGAGAGGACAAGUGCAACAGAAAGGAUGUACAGGUAAUGCUGUAGUGAAAUCAGGUAAACUCUACGCGGUGCAACGCCAUGUAUACCGGCAUUUAAGGGUUGCGCGCCCGAUCCCGAUAACUAUCGGGGUGCCGGAGGGUAGGCGGUUAGAGAUCCCGGGUAACCGGUAUCCCAGAUAAAUGAUAAGACUCGACAGAAUCCGGCUUACAGGCCUGCUUUUUUU
Molecule: RNase P RNA, 336 nt
Filed under: Sinomicrobium pectinilyticum
Lineage: Bacteria; Pseudomonadati; Bacteroidota; Flavobacteriia; Flavobacteriales; Flavobacteriaceae
Description: RNase P RNA component class A
Rfam family: Bacterial RNase P class A
About the family: Ribonuclease P (RNase P) is a ubiquitous endoribonuclease, found in archaea, bacteria and eukarya as well as chloroplasts and mitochondria. Its best characterised activity is the generation of mature 5'-ends of tRNAs by cleaving the 5'-leader elements of precursor-tRNAs. Cellular RNase Ps are ribonucleoproteins.
Source: RNAcentral